RNAcentral lists this ribosomal RNA (436 nucleotides) under uncultured bacterium. Its description in RNAcentral is "bacterial SSU rRNA". It matches the Rfam family "Bacterial small subunit ribosomal RNA", at positions 29 to 416 of the family's 1533-position model. The record is from RNAcentral.
AACGAACGCUGGCGGCGCGCCUAACACAUGCAAGUCGAACGCGAAAGUGUAGCAAUACAUGAGUAAAGUGGCGCACGGGUGAGUAACGCGUAGGUGAUCUACCCUUGUGAUCGGGAUAACCAGCCGAAAGGUUGGCUAAUACUGGAUAGAGCGCAACGGUCAUAAAGACUGAUGCGGGAAAUGAGGGCGUAGACACUGAAUGUUCAAACGGGAGUUUGAAGAUGAGUGUUUACGCUCUUGCACUGGGAUGAGCCUGCGUCUCAUUAGCUAGUUGGUAGGUAAUGGCCUACAAGGCAUUGAUGGGUANCUGGUCUGAGAGGACGAUCAGCCACACUGGAACUGAAACACGGUCCAGACUCCUACGGAGGCAGCAGUGGGGAAUCUUGCGCAAUGGACGAAAGUCUGACGCAGCGACGCCGCGUGGGUGAAGAAGGCC